RNAcentral lists this ribosomal RNA (301 nucleotides) under uncultured bacterium. RNAcentral describes it as "partial 16S ribosomal RNA". It matches the Rfam family "Bacterial small subunit ribosomal RNA", at positions 509 to 808 of the family's 1533-position model. The record is from RNAcentral.
CAGCAGCCGCGGGAAUACGUAGGGUGCGAGUGUUAAUCGGAAUUACUGGGCGUAAAGCGUGCGCAGGCGGUUUUGUAAGACAGGCGUGAAAUCCCCGGGCUCAACCUGGGAAUGGCGCUUGUGACUGCAAAGCUAGAGUGCGGCAGAGGGGGAUGGAAUUCCGCGUGUAGCAGUGAAAUGCGUAGAUAUGCGGAGGAACACCGAUGGCGAAGGCAUCCCCUGGGCCUGCACUGACGCUCAUGCACGAAAGCGUGGGGAGCAAACAGGAUUAGAUACCCCGGUAGUCCCUGUCUCUUAUACA